GGUGCAGUGGCGAAGUGGGAACGCUGCGGUCUGCAAAACCGCCACGAACCGGUUCGAUUCCGGUCUGCACCUCCA
Molecule: transfer RNA, 75 nt
Filed under: Labrys wisconsinensis
Lineage: Bacteria; Pseudomonadati; Pseudomonadota; Alphaproteobacteria; Hyphomicrobiales; Xanthobacteraceae
Description: tRNA-Cys
Rfam family: tRNA
About the family: Transfer RNA (tRNA) molecules are approximately 80 nucleotides in length. Their secondary structure includes four short double-helical elements and three loops (D, anti-codon, and T loops).
Source: RNAcentral